CCUACGGGAGGCAGCAGUGAGGAAUAUUGGUCAAUGGACGCAAGUCUGAACCAGCCAUGCCGCGUGCAGGAAGACGGCUCUAUGAGUUGUAAACUUCUUUUGUACGAGGGUAAACGCAGAUACGCGUAUCUGUCUGAAAGUAUCUUACGAAUAAGGAUCGGCUAACUCCGUGCCAGCAGCCGCGGUAAUACGGAGGAUUCAAGCGUUAUCCGGAUUUAUUGGGUUUAAAGGGUGCGUAGGUGGUCUGAUAAGUUAGAGGUGAAAUUCCGAGGCUCAACUUCGGAAUUGCAUCUGAUACUGUUCGGCUAGAGAGUAGUUGCGGUAGGCGGAAUGUAUGGUGUAGCGGUGAAAUGCUUAGAGAUCAUACAGAACACCGAUUGCGAAGGCAGCUUACCAAGCUACCUCUGACGUUGAGGCACGAAAGCGUGGGGAGCAAACAGGAUUAGAUACCCCAGUAGUC
RNAcentral lists this ribosomal RNA (460 nucleotides) under uncultured bacterium. Its description in RNAcentral is "partial 16S ribosomal RNA". It matches the Rfam family "Bacterial small subunit ribosomal RNA", at positions 338 to 795 of the family's 1533-position model. The record is from RNAcentral.